GACGAACGCUGGCGGCGUGCUUAACACAUGCAAGUCGAACGGAAAGGCCUCUUUCGGGGGGUACUCGAGUGGCGAACGGGUGAGUAACACGUGAGUAACCUGCCCUUGACUUUGGGAUAACUUCAGGAAACUGGGGCUAAUACCGGAUAGGAGCUCCUGCUGCAUGGUGGGGGUUGGAAAGUUUCGGCGGUUGGGGAUGGACUCGCGGCUUACCAGCUUGUUGGUGGGGUAGUGGCUUACCAAGGCUUUGACGGGUAGCCGGCCUGAGAGGGUGACCGGCCACAUUGGGACUGAGAUACGGCCCAGACUCCUACGGGAGGCAGCAGGGGGGAAUAUUGCACAAUGGGUGGAAGCCUGAUGCAGCAACGCCGUGUGCGGGAUGACGGCCUUCGGGUUGUAAACCGCUUUCGCUCAUGACGAAGCUUUGUGUGACGGUAGUGGGUAAAGAAGCACCGGCUAACUACGUG
RNAcentral lists this ribosomal RNA (467 nucleotides) under uncultured bacterium. RNAcentral's name for it is "partial 16S ribosomal RNA". It matches the Rfam family "Bacterial small subunit ribosomal RNA", at positions 28 to 507 of the family's 1533-position model. The record is from RNAcentral.